GACGAACGCUGGCGGCGUGCUUAACACAUGCAAGUCGAACGGAAAGGCCCUGCUUUUGUGGGGUGCUCGAGUGGCGAAAGGGUGAGUAACACGUGAGUAACCUGCCCUUGACUUUGGGAUAACUUCAGGUAACUGGGGCUCAUACCGGAUAUGAGCUCCUGCUGCAUGGUGGGGGUUGGAAAGUUUCGUCGGUUGGGGAUGGACUCGCGGCUUAUCAGCUUGUUGGUGGGGUUGUGGCUUACCAAGGCUUUGACUGGUAGCCGGCAUGGGAGAGUGACCGGCAACAAGGAGAAUGAGAGACGGCCGAGGCACGUACGGGAGGCAAAAGUGGGGAGAAGUGCACAUAGGGCGGGAGCGAGGAACGAAAACGCAGCGGGCGGGAUGACUGGCUUCGGGUUGUAAACCGCUUUCGCCUGUGACGAAGCGUGAGUGACGGUAAUGGGUAAAGAAGCACCGGAUAACUACGGG
Molecule: ribosomal RNA, 468 nt
Filed under: uncultured bacterium
Lineage: Bacteria
Description: partial 16S ribosomal RNA
Rfam family: Bacterial small subunit ribosomal RNA
Source: RNAcentral